CCUUGAAGAAGCUAGUUGGGAGAACUAUGAUCUCAUUUUCACCUUGAGGACAAGGCGACUUUUCAGAGGGGAUGCACUGAUACGACUACUUGUUUAUCUUAGUUUAUUUUUAAAGAGGAUAAAAUAUAUAAGCAGUAGUUAUCUAUAAUAGUUAUAGGCAGCAGUUAUUAGGCAGUUAUCUACAACAGUUAUUAGGUAGUUAUCUACAGCAGUAACUAUUUUUGUGUUAGUAGUUAUCUUUAUGUUUAGUAUAAAUAUAUGUAUUUAGCAGAGAAUCUGGAAGAAGAAGAAAAGUAUUAUAUUUGUC
RNAcentral lists this long non-coding RNA (307 nucleotides) under Solanum tuberosum (potato). RNAcentral's name for it is "long non-coding RNA (STUB_LNC006429)". The record is from RNAcentral. Lineage: Eukaryota; Viridiplantae; Streptophyta; Magnoliopsida; Solanales; Solanaceae.